Molecule: ribosomal RNA, 484 nt
Filed under: uncultured Gammaproteobacteria bacterium
Lineage: Bacteria; Pseudomonadati; Pseudomonadota; Gammaproteobacteria
Description: bacterial SSU rRNA
Rfam family: Bacterial small subunit ribosomal RNA
Source: RNAcentral
AUUGAACGUUGGCGGCAGGCUUUAGACAUGCAAGUCGAGCGGAAACGAUACCUUCGGGUAGGCGUCGAGCGGCGGACGGGUGAGUAACGCGUAGGAAUCUACCCAGUAGCGGGGGAUAGCCCGGGGAAACUCGGAUUAAUACCGCAUACGCCCUAUGGGGGAAAGAUGGCCUCUUCUUGAAAGCUAUCGCUAUUGGAGGAGCCUGCGUUGGAUUAGCUAGUUGGUGGGGUAAAGGCCUACCAAGGCGACGAUCCAUAGCUGGUCUGAGAGGACGAUCAGCCACACUGGGACUGAGACACGGCCCAGACUCCUACGGGAGGCAGCAGUCGGGAAUAUUGGACAAUGGGCGCAAGCCUGAUCCAGCCAUGCCGCGUGUGUGAAGAAGGCCUUAGGGUUGUAAAGCACUUUCAGGAGUGAAGAAAGGCGUUGGGUGAAUAAUCUGACGUUUUGACGUUAGCUCCAGAAGAAGCACCGGCUAACUCCG